This 274-nucleotide ribosomal RNA is filed under the name uncultured bacterium. RNAcentral describes it as "partial 16S ribosomal RNA". It matches the Rfam family "Bacterial small subunit ribosomal RNA", at positions 523 to 796 of the family's 1533-position model. The record is from RNAcentral.
AUACAGAGGGUGCGGGCGUUAAUCGGAAUUACUGGGCGUAAAGCGCGCGUAGGCGGCUUAUUAAGUCAGAUGUGAAAUCCCCGGGCUCAACCUGGGAACUGCAUCUGAUACUGGUAAGCUAGAGUUUUGGAGAGGGAAGUAGAAUUUCAGGUGUAGCGGUGAAAUGCAUAGAGAUCUGAAGGAAUACCAGUGGCGAAGGCGACUUCCUGGCCAAAAACUGACGCUGAGGUGCGAAAGCGUGGGUAGCAAACGGGAUUAGAAACCCUAGUAGUCC